GCCGAGGUGGCGGAAUUGGUAGACGCGCCAGAUUCAGGUUCUGGUACUCGAAAGGGUGUGCUGGUUCGAUUCCAGUUCUCGGCACCA
RNAcentral lists this transfer RNA (87 nucleotides) under Pelotalea chapellei. RNAcentral describes it as "tRNA-Leu". It matches the Rfam family "tRNA". From Rfam's summary of the family: Transfer RNA (tRNA) molecules are approximately 80 nucleotides in length. Lineage: Bacteria; Pseudomonadati; Thermodesulfobacteriota; Desulfuromonadia; Geobacterales; Geobacteraceae. The record is from RNAcentral. RNAcentral also lists the same sequence under 2 other names.